RNAcentral lists this ribosomal RNA (582 nucleotides) under Triticum aestivum (bread wheat). Its description in RNAcentral is "partial small subunit ribosomal RNA". Lineage: Eukaryota; Viridiplantae; Streptophyta; Magnoliopsida; Poales; Poaceae. The record is from RNAcentral.
AUGGAUGGUGGCAGCAGCAUCAACAUAUUAUACUAUGAUACUUUCUGUCGGAUGAGCCUAACGGAUAAGGAUCUUAAGCCGUCUUCCACAGUUUUUCAUGGAGUGGUGCCUGGUAAGUCGGCGUACCCGAUGGGAAAGAGUGCUCUGGAAGUAGCUUUUGGCGAUGAGUAUAACUACAGAGCAGAGACAUUGUGGUUUGAGGUGGUUAAGAUUAAAAGUCCUUAUCAUGCUUUAUUUGGACGGCCAGCUUAUGCCAAAUUCAUGGCUCACCCUUGUUACGUGUAUCUGCAACUUAAGAUGUUAGGGCCACAGGGGACAAUCACAGUUCAUGGAAAUCGCAAACUCGCCUUGGAGUGCGAGGAAGGAGACACAGCUUACGCAGAGUCGGCUUGUGCCGCAGAGGAGGUCAAGUAUUAUAAAAAUAAUGUUGACCCGGCUGAUAUGACCCCUCUGAAGAAGCCCACCACAGAGACAGAACCGCCACUUAAAUUUAAAUCGGCAAAGGAUACACAGCAAGUUGACUUUAUUCCUGGUGAUUCUUCUCAACAGUUCACCCUUGGGACAGGGAUGGGUCCCAAAUAG